Gossypium hirsutum (cotton) is the source of this 123-nucleotide non-coding RNA. The record is from Rfam. Lineage: Eukaryota; Viridiplantae; Streptophyta; Magnoliopsida; Malvales; Malvaceae.
AAUAGUUUUAUGCCGCAUCAGCAUUAUCAUCCUAAAUUUCAGCAUUUUCAUCUUGAAAAAAAUCAAAUCUAAAUUAAAAUGCUGAAAUUUAGGAUGAUAAUGCUGAUGCGGCAUAAAACUAUU